CGUAGGAGUAAAGAAUGUGCAUCGACGAAAAGGCCCGAUCGUCUGGUUGGACCAGACAGAACUGACUCUACUAUGCACGUGUUAAUCUCAAAAAGCUACACCUACAAAAUAUCAUCGAUUCGAAAAAAAUGAAAAGAUGAGAUAAUCGAUUAUUUUCGAAAGUGAUACACGAUGCUAACACGAUCGAUGGAACUACUGUUGACUGUAUUUACAGUCAUACCAAAAAAGGCAUACUACUGGAUAAUGAGUUCGAUAAGUAUACCGGUAUGUUUAGUGUCAAGGCAAUACUCUCUGUGGGUGAAGGGUACUUGAAAGAAGAACCAGUGGGAUGCUGUAUAUAAAUGUACUCGACCUUUCUUUAAUGUAUAACCUUCUUUUCAAAACGACAUUAUCAAGAUAAAUAAAAAAUCGAUGAUGUAAAGAACGAAAUUGACACUUACAGCCAGGAAGAGAGCCUUUCUUCACGGUGAUCCUAAACGGUUGAUAAGUGGCGCCUGGUUGCACCUUUCCGUACAUCGUUCGAUCCAUAGCCAUUUUAUUUUUUUUUAUUUUUGUUAUUUAUAUAUAUGUAUAUAUAUAUAUAUUUACUUUUUUACGCGCACAAAAUAUUACAAACGACUUAUUUUAUUCGAAGAAAUGACGGAGCACGGGCACCACCAUGUGUAUACAUACGCACCCACUGACACGCGUGGAAUAAACGCAACACGCGCUACUCGAGUCACGUGGUACUGUUAUGCGAAUCACCGAUUGGCUGACGAAUCAGAGGGAUGGAAGACACAAUCGUUUAACCACGCGCCACCGCGACCACUUGUUGCAGAAUGGCAUCGAAAUAAACUAUAUAUACAUACAUAUAUGUAUAUACAUUUCUGAUAUAUUUAUAAACAAUUAAUUUCUUUUAUAAAAAAAAAAAAAAAAAAAAAAAA
Long non-coding RNA from Vespa velutina, 923 nucleotides. RefSeq lists it as uncharacterized. The record is from RefSeq and is a predicted model, not a curated record. Lineage: Eukaryota; Metazoa; Arthropoda; Insecta; Hymenoptera; Vespidae. The transcript is spliced from 3 exons.